Choloepus didactylus (southern two-toed sloth) is the source of this 114-nucleotide small nuclear RNA. RefSeq annotates it as U5 spliceosomal RNA. Lineage: Eukaryota; Metazoa; Chordata; Mammalia; Pilosa; Megalonychidae. The transcript has a single exon. The record is from RefSeq and is a predicted model, not a curated record.
AUACUCUGGUUUCUCUUCAGGUUGUAUAAAUCUUUUGCCUUUUACUAAAGAUUUCUGUGGAGAGAAACAAUUCUGAGCUUGUACCCAAAUUUUUGAGGCUCUGUCAAUAGGGCU